UUUCCGUAGGUGAACCUGCGGAAGGAUCAUUAUUGAAUAAACUUGGUUGGGUUGCUGCUGGCUCUCCGGAGCAUGUGCACACUUACUCCAUUUUUAACCACCUGUGCACAUACUGUAGGCCUGAAUGAACUUUGUCGAGGAAACUCGGUUUGAGAACUGCUCAGCUGUUCUUGUAUUUCAGGUCUAUGUUUUUAAGCAUAUACUCCAUAACAAGUUAUAGAAUGUUAAUUAUGGGCCUUCUGUGCCUUUAAAACCUAAUACAACUUUCAACAACGGAUCUCUUGGCUCUC
Molecule: unclassified non-coding RNA, 290 nt
Filed under: plant metagenome
Description: partial contains small subunit ribosomal RNA, internal transcribed spacer 1, and 5.8S ribosomal RNA
Source: RNAcentral